This 784-nucleotide ribosomal RNA is filed under the name uncultured Glomus. Its description in RNAcentral is "SSU rRNA". It matches the Rfam family "Eukaryotic small subunit ribosomal RNA", at positions 325 to 1111 of the family's 1831-position model. The record is from RNAcentral. Lineage: Eukaryota; Fungi; Glomeromycota; Glomeromycetes; Glomerales; Glomeraceae.
AUGGUAGGAUAGAGGCCUACCAUGGUGGUAACGGGUAACGGGGUGUUAGGGCACGACACCGGAGAGGGAGCCUGAGAAACGGCUACCACAUCCAAGGAAGGCAGCAGGCGCGCAAAUUACCCAAUCCCGACACGGGGAGGUAGUGACAAUAAAUAACAAUAUAGGGUUCUUUUGGAUCUUGUAAUUGGAAUGAGUACAAUUUAAAUCUCUUAACGAGGAACAAUUGGAGGGCAAGUCUGGUGCCAGCAGCCGCGGUAAUUCCAGCUCCAAUAGCGUAUAUNAAAGUUGUUGCAGUUAAAAAGCUCGUAGUUGAAUUUCGGGAUCAAUACGUCGGUCGUGCUUCGGUACGUACUGGCGUAAUUGAUUUCUCCCUUCUGACGAACCAUGAUGUCAUUAACUUGGUGUCAUGGGAAAUCAGGACUGUUACUUUGAAAAAAUUAGAGUGUUUAAAGCAGGCUCACGCUUGAAUACAUUAGCAUGGAAUAAUGAAAUAGGACGUUCGAUCCUAUUUUGUUGGUUUUUAGGAUCAACGUAAUGAUUAAUAGGGAUAGUUGGGGGCAUUAGUAUUCAAUUGUCAGAGGUGAAAUUCUUGGAUUUAUUGAAGACUAACUACUGCGAAAGCAUUUGCCAAGGAUGUUUUCAUUAAUCAAGAACGAAAGUUAGGGGAUCGAAGACGAUCAGAUACCGUCGUAGUCUUAACCAUAAACUAUGCCGACUAGGGAUCGGAUGAUGUUAAUUUUUUAAUGACUCAUUCGGCGCCUUACGGGAAACCAAAGUGUUUGGG